GACGAACGCUGGCGGCGUGCUUAACACAUGCAAGUCGAACGGUAAGGCCCUUCGGGGUACACGAGUGGCGAACGGGUAAGUAACACGUGGGUGAUCUGCCCUGCACUUCGGGAUAAGCCUGGGAAACUGGGUCUAAUACCGGAUAGGACCCUGGGAUGCAUGUCCUGGGGUGGAAAGCUUUUGCGGUGUGGGAUGGGCCCGCGGCCUAUCAGCUUGUUGGUGGGGUGAUGGCCUACCAAGGCGACGACGGGUAGCCGGCCUGAGAGGGUGACCGGCAAGACUGGGACUGAGAUACGGCCCAGACUCCGACGGGAGGCAGCAGUGGGGAAUAUUGCACAAUGGGCGCAAGCCUGAUGCAGCGACGCCGCGUGAGGGAUGACGGCCUUCGGGUUGUAAACCUCUUUCAGCACCGACGAAGCGCAAGUGACGGUAGGUGCAGAAGAAGGGCCGGCCAACUACGUGCCAGCAGCCGCCGUAA
Molecule: ribosomal RNA, 478 nt
Filed under: uncultured bacterium
Lineage: Bacteria
Description: partial 16S ribosomal RNA
Rfam family: Bacterial small subunit ribosomal RNA
Source: RNAcentral